ACUCCUACGGGAGGCAGCAGUGGGGAAUAUUGCACAAUGGGGGAAACCCUGAUGCAGCCAUGCCGCGUGUGUGAAGAAGGCCUUCGGGUUGUAAAGCACUUUCAGCGAGGAGGAAAGGUUGGUAGCUAAUAACUGCCAGCUGUGACGUUACUCGCAGAAGAAGCACCGGCUAACUCCGUGC
RNAcentral lists this ribosomal RNA (181 nucleotides) under uncultured bacterium. RNAcentral describes it as "partial 16S ribosomal RNA". It matches the Rfam family "Bacterial small subunit ribosomal RNA", at positions 335 to 508 of the family's 1533-position model. The record is from RNAcentral.